Molecule: unclassified non-coding RNA, 255 nt
Filed under: plant metagenome
Description: partial contains small subunit ribosomal RNA, internal transcribed spacer 1, and 5.8S ribosomal RNA
Rfam family: Eukaryotic small subunit ribosomal RNA (bases 1-54)
Source: RNAcentral
GGAAGUAAAAAUCGUAACAAGGUUUCCGUAGGUGAACCUGCGGAAGGAUCAUUAUUGGAUUUUGAAACUUCAGGCUGCUGCUGGCUCUCCUCGGAGGGCAUGUGCACGCUUGUUGUCCAUUAUUUCUCCCACUGUGCACAAAUUGUAGACCUUUCAGUAGGCCUAUGUUGUUUUUCACAAUCUCUGAAUGUAAUAGAAUGGUUUUGAAACUUGGGAAAUACAAUACAACUUUCAGCAACGGAUCUCUUGGCUCUC